AUCUGGGACGAGUCCAAAAUAGGACGAAACAUACGUACUGGAU
RNAcentral lists this non-coding RNA (43 nucleotides) under Schistosoma margrebowiei. Lineage: Eukaryota; Metazoa; Platyhelminthes; Trematoda; Strigeidida; Schistosomatidae. The record is from RNAcentral.